This 201-nucleotide ribosomal RNA is filed under the name uncultured bacterium. RNAcentral's name for it is "partial 16S ribosomal RNA". It matches the Rfam family "Bacterial small subunit ribosomal RNA", at positions 524 to 724 of the family's 1533-position model. The record is from RNAcentral.
UACGUAGGUGGCAAGCGUUGUCCGGAUUUAUUGGGUUUAAAGGGUGCGUAGGCGGCCCCGUAAGUCAGUGCUGAAAUAUCCCGGCUUAACCGGGAGGGUGGCAUUGAUACUGCGAGGCUUGAGUAAAGUUGAGGUAGGCGGAAUUGACGGUGUAGCGGUGAAAUGCUUAGAUAUCGUCAAGAACACCGAUAGUGUAGACAG